UAUGGUUAAGUGACUAAGCGUACACGGUGGAUGCCUUGGCAGUUGGAGGCGAUGAAGGACGUACUAACUUGCGAUAAGCCUAGUUGAGCUAGUAAGAAGCACUUGAGACUAGGAUUUCCGAAUGGGGAAACCCAGUGGAUUUAUCCACUAUCUUUAACUGAAUACAUAGGUUAAAGAGGCGAACGAGGGGAACUGAAACAUCUAAGUACCCUUAGGAAAAGAAAUCAACCGAGAUUCCGUUAGUAGCGGCGAGCGAACGCGGAUUAGCCCUUAAGUUUGAUAAGAUGCAGUGGAACACUCUGGAAAGUGUGGCGAUAGAGGGUGAUAGCCCCGUACACGAAGUGUGUUAUCAAAUGAAAACGAGUAGGUCGGGACACGUGUUAUCUUGACUGAAUAUGGGGGGACCAUCCUCCAAGGCUAAAUACUCCCAACUGACCGAUAGUGAACCAGUACCGUGAGGGAAAGGCGAAAAGAACCCCUGUGAGGGGAGUGAAAUAGAACCUGAAACCGUGUACGUACAAGCAGUAGGAGCCCCUUCGUGGGGUGACUGCGUACCUUUUGUAUAAUGGGUCAGCGACUUACAUUUUGUAGCGAGGUUAACCGUGUAGGGUAGCCGUAGGGAAACCGAGUCUUAACUGGGCGUCUAGUUGCAAGGUGUAGACCCGAAACCGGGCGAUCUAGCCAUGGGCAGGUUGAAGGUUGAGUAACAUCAACUGGAGGACCGAACUCACUAAUGUUGAAAAAUUAGGAGAUGACCUGUGGCUCGGAGUGAAAGGCUAAUCAAGCCCGGAGAUAGCUGGUUCUCCCCGAAAUCUAUUUAGGUAGAGCCUCGGACGAAUACCAUUGGGGGUAGAGCACUGUUUCGGCUAGGGGGUCAUCCCGACUUACCAACCCGAUGCAAACUCCGAAUACCAAUGAGUACUAUCCGGGAGACACACGGCGGGUGCUAACGUUCGUCGUGAAGAGGGAAACAACCCAGACCGCCAGCUAAGGUCCCCAAGUCAUGGUUCAGUGGGAAACGAUGUGGGAAGGCAUAGACAGCUAGGAGGUUGGCUUAGAAGCAGCCAUCCUUUAAAGAAAGCGUAAUAGCUCACUAGUCGAGUCGGCCUGCGCGGAAGAUGUAACGGGGCUAAACCAUGCACCGAAGCUGCGGCAGCGCAUUUAUGUGCUGGGUAGGGGAGCGUUGUGUAAGCCGUUGAAGGUGGAUUGAGAAGUCUGCUGGAGGUAUCACAAGUGCGAAUGCUGACAUGAGUAACGAUAAUGGGGGUGAAAAACCCCCACGCCGGAAGACCAAGGGUUCCUAUCCCAUGCUAAUCAGGGUAGGGUGAGUCGGCCCCUAAGGCGAGGCUGAAAAGCGUAGUCGAUGGGAAACGGGUUAAUAUUCCCGUACUGCUUUAUACUGCGAUGGGGUGACGGAGAAGGCUAGGCAAGCGCGGCGUUGGUAGUCCGCGUGAAAGUGAGUAGGUUGAGAGUUUAGGCAAAUCCGGACUCUUAAGACUGAGACACGAGACGAGACUCUACGGAGUUGAAGUUGUUGAUGCCCUGCUUCCAGGAAAAACCUCUAAGCAUCAGGUAUAAAGAACCGUACCCGAAACCGACACAGGUGGUCAGGUAGAGAAUACUAAGGCGCUUGAGAGAACUCGGGUGAAGGAACUAGGCAAAAUAGUACCGUAACUUCGGGAGAAGGUACGCCCUUAUUUGUGAAGGCCUUGCGCUGUAAGCAGAUGAGGGUCGCAGUGACCAGGUGGCUGGGACUGUUUAUUAAAAACACAGCACUCUGCAAACUCGAAAGAGGACGUAUAGGGUGUGACACCUGCCCGGUGCCGGAAGGUUAAUUGAUGGGGUUAGCUUCGGCGAAGCUCUUGAUCGAAGCCCCGGUAAACGGCGGCCGUAACUAUAACGGUCCUAAGGUAGCGAAAUUCCUUGUCGGGUAAGUUCCGACCUGCACGAAUGGUGUAACCAUGGCCACGCUGUCUCCACCCGAGACUCAGUGAAAUUGAAAUCGCUGUGAAGAUGCAGUGUACCCGCGGCUAGACGGAAAGACCCCGUGAACCUUUACUACAGCUUGGCACUGAACAUUGAACCUACAUGUGUAGGAUAGGUGGGAGGCUUAGAAGCAUUGUCGCUAGAUGAUGUGGAGCCGUCCUUGAAAUACCACCCUUGUAUGUUUGAUGUUCUAACGUAGGUCCCUUAUCGGGAUUGCGGACAGUGCCUGGUGGGUAGUUUGACUGGGGCGGUCUCCUCCCAAAGAGUAACGGAGGAGCACGAAGGUUGGCUAAGUACGGUCGGACAUCGUACGGUUAGUGCAAAGGCAUAAGCCAGCUUAACUGCGAGACAGACACGUCGAGCAGGUGCGAAAGCAGGUCUUAGUGAUCCGGUGGUUCUGAAUGGAAGGGCCAUCGCUCAACGGAUAAAAGGUACUCCGGGGAUAACAGGCUGAUACCGCCCAAGAGUUCAUAUCGACGGCGGUGUUUGGCACCUCGAUGUCGGCUCAUCACAUCCUGGGGCUGAAGUCGGUCCCAAGGGUAUGGCUGUUCGCCAUUUAAAGUGGUACGCGAGCUGGGUUUAGAACGUCGUGAGACAGUUCGGUCCCUAUCUGCCGUGGGCGUUUGAGAAUUGAGAGGGGUUGCUCCUAGUACGAGAGGACCGGAGUGAACGAACCGCUGGUGUUCGGGUUGUCAUGCCAAUGGCACUGCCCGGUAGCUACGUUCGGAAUCGAUAACCGCUGAAAGCAUCUAAGCGGGAAGCGAGCCUCGAGAUGAGUUCUCACUGGACUUUAAGUCCCUAAAGGGUUGUCGAAGACUACGACGUUGAUAGGCAGGGUGUGGAAGCGCUGUAAGGCGUUGAGCUAACCUGUACUAAUUGCCCGAGAGGCUUAACCA
This 2882-nucleotide ribosomal RNA is filed under the name Idiomarinaceae bacterium HL-53. RNAcentral describes it as "bacterial LSU rRNA". It matches the Rfam family "Bacterial large subunit ribosomal RNA". Lineage: Bacteria; Pseudomonadati; Pseudomonadota; Gammaproteobacteria; Alteromonadales; Idiomarinaceae. The record is from RNAcentral.